CCUACGGGUGGCAGCAGUGGGGGAUAUUGCACAAUGGGGGGAACCCUGAUGCAGCGACGCCGCGUGGGUGAAGAAGCGCCUCGGCGCGUAAAGCCCUGUCAGCAGGGAAGAAAAUGACGGUACCUGAAGAAGAAGCCCCGGCUAACUACGUGCCAGCAGCCGCGGGAAUACGUAGGGGGCAAACGCUAUGCGGCUAUACUGGGUGUAACGGGGGCGCAGACGGCGAUGCAAGCCAGGAGCGAAAGCCCGGGGCCCAACCCCGGGACUGCGCUUGGAACUGCGUGGCUGGAGUGCAGGAGGGGCAGGCGGAAUUCCUGGUGUAGCGGUGAAAUGCGUAGAUAGAAGGAGGAACACCGGUGGCGAAGGCGGCC
This 371-nucleotide ribosomal RNA is filed under the name uncultured bacterium. RNAcentral describes it as "partial 16S ribosomal RNA". It matches the Rfam family "Bacterial small subunit ribosomal RNA", at positions 338 to 726 of the family's 1533-position model. The record is from RNAcentral.